Pundamilia nyererei is the source of this 251-nucleotide long non-coding RNA. RefSeq lists it as uncharacterized. Lineage: Eukaryota; Metazoa; Chordata; Actinopteri; Cichliformes; Cichlidae. The transcript has 3 exons. The record is from RefSeq and is a predicted model, not a curated record.
GAUGCCAGAGAGCGAUAGACCUCAACACACUUGGAUACCUCGAGUAAUAAGGUGUAUCUCUGUGAUUUUCUUCAUCCUGUUUAAUGUUCAAGCGAUAGUUGGAUGUGUGUACUUUAAUGACUGUCCAAGGGCGCCCUCCAUUCCCGUCAUUCUGGUUAUUUGUGGAUUCAUACCUGUCUUGUGGGGAUUGAGCCGGUUUUUGAACAGGUGCAAUAUUUUCUUCGACUGUCUGUUCUUCAUCCUCCAUUUUG